CAGUCGCCACGGUAAUACGUAGGGCGCAAGCGUUGUCCGGAAUUAUUGGGCGUAAAGAGCUCGUAGGCGGUCUGUCGCGUCUGGUGUGAAAUCCCGAGGCUCAACCUCGGGCUUGCAUCGGGUACGGGCAGACUAGAGUGCGGUAGGGGAGACUGGAAUUCCUGGUGUAGCGGUGGAAUGCGCAGAUAUCAGGAGGAACACCGAUGGCGAAGGCAGGUCUCUGGGCCGCAACUGACGCUGAGGAGCGAAAGCAUGGGGAGCGAACAGGAUUAGAGACCCCUGUAGUCCCUGUCUCUUAUAC
Molecule: ribosomal RNA, 301 nt
Filed under: uncultured bacterium
Lineage: Bacteria
Description: partial 16S ribosomal RNA
Rfam family: Bacterial small subunit ribosomal RNA
Source: RNAcentral